Molecule: ribosomal RNA, 253 nt
Filed under: uncultured bacterium
Lineage: Bacteria
Description: partial 16S ribosomal RNA
Rfam family: Bacterial small subunit ribosomal RNA
Source: RNAcentral
UACAGAGGCGGCAAGCGUUGUUCGGAAUUACUGGGCGUAAAGGGCGCGUAGGCGGUUCGUUAAGUCCUGUGUGAAAUCCCCCGGCUCAACUGGGGAACUGCACAGGAAACUAGCGGGCUUGAGUUCGGGAGAGGGAAGCGGAAUUCCGGGUGUAGCGGUGAAAUGCGUAGAUAUCCGGAGGAACACCGGUGGCGAAGGCGGCUUCCUGGACCGACACUGACGCUGAGGCGCGAAAGCUAGGGGAGCAAACGGG